CUUCCCCUCCCAGAGCCCAGGAAUAAAAAGCCUUUGAAUACUAGAAGAAAAGCACCUAGACCUAACAAGAUUAAGUGAAUACCUAAAAUUAUGGUCAUUUUAUAUUGAUCUUUCCA
This 116-nucleotide antisense RNA is filed under the name Capsicum annuum. RNAcentral's name for it is "Antisense RNA which regulates isiA expression". It matches the Rfam family "Antisense RNA which regulates isiA expression", at positions 55 to 187 of the family's 187-position model. Lineage: Eukaryota; Viridiplantae; Streptophyta; Magnoliopsida; Solanales; Solanaceae. The record is from Rfam by way of RNAcentral.